CACUUAUUGAUGAGGACUGGGUCCAGGGUGUCCAAAAAAAACGCAAUUCAUCAAGGGUGGUGGCCUCUGCCCAAAUUGCUGUGGUGUGGUAAAACAUUUGAGUGCUGGAUCAGAGUCAAUAAUAUGGCAAUGUCUCUUAGUGAUGGAUUCAAACUCUCUGCCAAGAGGUCAGCUGCCUGGGCUUGGAAAUCACCAUCAGAACUACAAAUCCUGCCAACUCUACUAAAUUGAGACCAGGGCAGACUCCUCUUAAGUGGAAUAGGGUGGAAAGAUUGACCAUGAAGAAUAUAGUUUCUGUCUUACGGUACAGGUUAGAGCCAAGUCUGUUAGAGUCUCUGUACGUAUAACAAUGUCUAAAAAGUUAAUGUGCAUGUUAUAUUCCACUGUGAAUUUCAAAUGUUGACUGCUAGUGUUGA
Molecule: long non-coding RNA, 416 nt
Organism: Sardina pilchardus (European sardine)
Lineage: Eukaryota; Metazoa; Chordata; Actinopteri; Clupeiformes; Clupeidae
Exons: 3
Source: RefSeq, a predicted model, not a curated record